RNAcentral lists this unclassified non-coding RNA (497 nucleotides) under uncultured Paraglomus. RNAcentral's name for it is "SSU rRNA". It matches the Rfam family "Eukaryotic small subunit ribosomal RNA", at positions 591 to 1092 of the family's 1831-position model. The record is from RNAcentral. Lineage: Eukaryota; Fungi; Glomeromycota; Glomeromycetes; Paraglomerales; Paraglomeraceae.
CCAAUAGCGUAUAUUAAAGUUGUUGUGGUUAAAAAGCUCGUAGUUGAACCUUGGGCCUGGCUGGCCGGUCCGCCUCACCGCGUGUACUGGUCCGGCCGGGCCUUUCCCUCUGUGGAACCUCAUGCCCUUCACUGGGUGUGACGGGGAAGCAGGACUUUUACUGUGAAAAAAUUAGAGUGCUCCAAGCAGGCCUAUGCUCGAAUACAUUAGCAUGGAAUAAUAAAAUAGGACGUGCGGUUCUAUUUUGUUGGUUUCUAGGACCGCCGUAAUGAUUAAUAGGGACAGUCGGGGGCAUCAGUAUUCAAUUGUCAGAGGUGAAAUUCUUGGAUUUAUUGAAGACUAACUACUGCGAAAGCAUUUGCCAAGGAUGUUUUCAUUAAUCAGGAACGAAAGUUAGGGGAUCGAAGACGAUCAGAUACCGUCGUAGUCUUAACCAUAAACUAUGCCGACUUGGGAUGGGUAAACGUUGACUUUAUUGACUUUAUUCGCACCAUAUG